AGGCCGGACAACAGGUACGAAGAUGCAUUUAGGGAGGAGAAGAAAAGUUCAGUGCCUAUGGAUGACUCUGGGUUAUAGCAAUUUAUCACUCACCUUUCGAAGAGCUAGGAAAGAGGGGCUUAGAGCCUCUUAACAUAGAGAAUGGCCGUUGUCUAAGGGCGUGGAGAUGUGGUGAUUGGGUGCAAUUGUUACACACUAUGUGCACUUGAAUUAGCAUCCUGUACUCCAUAAUAGGCACCAUUUAGAUGAAGAGGCCAGGAAGACAGCCUCAAGGUACCUGUGGAGUGAGAGCUUGGGGAAAGAUAUCUCCAUACCACACCAUCAUCCCUGCUUGUCAGGCCCUACUCUUUCCACCCCUACAUGCGCCUGAAUUAGAAGCCUUUUAGACAACUCUUGCUCUUUUCUCUCACUCUACAUCUGGGAUCAUGGAGUUAAGUCUUUUGUGAUACCUUUCUUAAGUAGAUAACUAUUGCUCCAUAUAUGAAGCUCCUAUUAAAACUAACUUCAAGCUAUUAGUUUCUUCCUCAAUUAUACAGUCUUUCUGUUAACUUUAAGUUCCCUUUAAGUUUUUCUAUGUAGAAACAUUUGGAACAUGAUGCCCAUAAGUGAUGGCCAUAUUUGCACUUACAUUGGACUUUUUAUUGUUGAACCAGAGCCAGACGAUGAUGAUGUGAUGAGACAUAUAACUAGGCUAAGAGAAAAGCUUGGUUGGCAAACUGUAUUAUCACAGCAUGGUAUGAAAUGUAGUAGAGCUAAAAUUCAGAAGAUUACUUUAAAGGAACCUUUGAAAGAUGAUGGUGAAUUUGUAUACUGCAUUCCUCGGGGGAAUCUUAAAAGUUUUCACAAUCCAUAUGAUCUUCAGGUGGUAUCUGCCUACAGAGCUAGAAAUUGCAAAAAAUUUUGGAUUAUUUCUGCUUCAUUUAUUUCAAAGGUUGUUAAAACAGGUGUUGAUACAGAAGAAGUAGAACUUGUUCCUGCUUUGGAAUGGCUAUCAGAAAGACGUCGUUACUAUUUAUUACAGCAAUUCAAGAUAUUUUCCAAUUUCCGAGUUAAUAAAGCCUUUUUGACAUGGAAAUUGAAUGUUAAAAGAAUUAAGACAGAGAAGAGCAGGUCAUUUUUAUAUGAUCAUCUCUUUUGGGCUGAUGAGUUAUUUCAAUCCUGUUUGCUUUAUAUAAGAGGACUCUGUGAAGAUGCUGUUAAUAUCAGUAGUUAUAAUGAACAUGUGGAUAAUUCCUCUGCUAUAUUUCUUGUGAAGGUAGGUGGGGUUACCUUCUACAAGCUAAUGCUAGCAUGUAGAAAUCUGUUAGAACAAAGAAGUAUAGACUUCUGGAUUCACAGGAGAAUUCCUUUGGAAUUCUCCUUUUGGUGUUUUGAAAUUGCUACUCAGAAUGUGAUUUCCUCAGAAGUCAAUCUUAAUCGUUUGCAAUAUUCCUUAGAAAGAAUUUCUAUUUGA
Molecule: long non-coding RNA, 1453 nt
Filed under: Chinchilla lanigera (long-tailed chinchilla)
Lineage: Eukaryota; Metazoa; Chordata; Mammalia; Rodentia; Chinchillidae
Description: lncRNA (ENSCLAG00000027846.1)
Source: RNAcentral